RNAcentral lists this transfer RNA (71 nucleotides) under Marmota monax (woodchuck). RNAcentral describes it as "tRNA.Ala". The stretch from base 6 to 66 matches the Rfam family "tRNA", at positions 6 to 65 of the family's 71-position model. Rfam says of the family: Transfer RNA (tRNA) molecules are approximately 80 nucleotides in length. Their secondary structure includes four short double-helical elements and three loops (D, anti-codon, and T loops). Lineage: Eukaryota; Metazoa; Chordata; Mammalia; Rodentia; Sciuridae. The record is from RNAcentral.
GAGGCUGUGGCUCAGCGGAAGAGCGUUCACCUAGCAUGUGCAAGGCCCUGGGUUCAAUCCUCAGCACCACA